UUCCCAACUAAGUGGAUCUGGAAUCUUUAAGGCAUUGACUAAGUCCAAGCUGUCAGACUCAAUUAUAAGGACUUCACGUCGUUUGGGAAAGAAGUGAGUUAGGGCUUCUAACAGAGCAAGGGACUCAACCAUCAGCGGGGACGACGUUGCCACUGUACGAGCUGCUCCGUCCAGCAACCUUCCGACGGAAUCACGGCAAACGCAGGUGACCGAAUCGUCCGAAGCUCCAGAUCUGCUUGAUUUGGGGUUCUAUAUGUUAAAACUCUUCAACCCAGCUAGAACAGCGUCGAUGAGGCUGAUUGUGUUGGGUUAUCUGUUCUUGAAGAUGGUUUGGUUGCGCGCCUUCCAUAUAUUCCAUAGUGUUGCAGCAACCAGCUCUAGAUUAGCACAGGGUUCGACCAAAUUUCCUUCGUCCAAGGACACAAUAAAAACAGGUGCUCCACAGUUUCCACUCCUCGAUUGCAUAAAGAGCAUGUGGGAUCAGGUAUAACUUUUCUUCGAAAUAAAUUCUCUUUAGUUGGGAGAGCAUUCUGGCAUAAAUUCCACAUGAAAAUUCUAACCUUGGAUGGAGAGUGUAAUUUCCAUAUAUCUGUCCAGAGGGUGGGAGGAGGUUGAAAAGAAGUUGAGGCUUGAUUUUCAUUCUGUUUAUUGGCUUUCUCUCGAACGUAGUUGUAUCCACUUUUAACUGUGUACUUGCCUGCUUGAGUUCCGGUCCAUACGAGCCGGUCUUUCUCUAUUUGGGGUUUAAUCGGGAUAGCAAGGAUUUCUCUCACUAAUUGAUCCUCAAAAUGUUCAGUUAAAACUGUUUCAUCCCAUAUGCCUUCCUCACUAAUAACGAGUUCAGAGACAAACCGUGGUUCAUUUCUAUUAGCAGGACCUCCUA
Molecule: long non-coding RNA, 883 nt
Organism: Syzygium oleosum
Lineage: Eukaryota; Viridiplantae; Streptophyta; Magnoliopsida; Myrtales; Myrtaceae
Exons: 3
Source: RefSeq, a predicted model, not a curated record